UACGGGGGGGGUAAGCGUUGUUCGGAAUUACUGGGCGUAAAGGGCUCGUAGGCGGCCAACUAAGUCAUACGUGAAAUCCCUCAGCUUAACUGGGGAACUGCGUGUGAUACUGGAUGGCUUGGAUUUGGGAGAGGGAUGCGGAAUUCCAGGUGUAGCGGUGAAAUGCGUAGAUAUUGGGAAGAACACCAGUGGCGAAGGCGGCUAUCUGGCCCGUUAUUGACGCUGAGGCGCGAAAGCGUGGGGAGCAAACAGG
RNAcentral lists this ribosomal RNA (253 nucleotides) under uncultured bacterium. Its description in RNAcentral is "partial 16S ribosomal RNA". It matches the Rfam family "Bacterial small subunit ribosomal RNA", at positions 524 to 776 of the family's 1533-position model. The record is from RNAcentral.